This 726-nucleotide ribosomal RNA is filed under the name uncultured bacterium. RNAcentral describes it as "bacterial SSU rRNA". It matches the Rfam family "Bacterial small subunit ribosomal RNA", at positions 60 to 746 of the family's 1533-position model. The record is from RNAcentral.
AGUCGAGCGAGUCUGCCUUGAAGAUCGGAGUGCUUGCACUCUGUGAAACAAGAUACAGGCUAGCGGCGGACGGGUGAGUAACACGUGGGUAACCUGCCCAAGAGAUCGGGAUAACACCUGGAAACAGAUGCUAAUACCGGAUAACAACAGAUGAUGCCUAUCAACUGUUUAAAAGAUGGUUCUGCUAUCACUCUUGGAUGGACCUGCGGUGCAUUAGCUAGUUGGUAGGGUAACGGCCUACCAAGGCGAUGAUGCAUAGCCGAGUUGAGAGACUGAUCGGCCACAUUGGGACUGAGACACGGCCCAAACUCCUACGGGAGGCAGCAGUAGGGAAUCUUCCACAAUGGACGCAAGUCUGAUGGAGCAACGCCGCGUGAGUGAAGAAGGGUUUCGGCUCGUAAAGCUCUGUUGUUGGUGAAGAAGGACGGGGGUAGUAACUGACCUUUGUUUGACGGUAAUCAAUUAGAAAGUCACGGCUAACUACGUGCCAGCAGCCGCGGUAAUACGUAGGUGGCAAGCGUUGUCCGGAUUUAUUGGGCGUAAAGCGAGUGCAGGCGGUUCGAUAAGUCUGAUGUGAAAGCCUUCGGCUCAACCGGAGAAUUGCAUCAGAAACUGUCGAGCUUGAGUACAGAAGAGGAGAGUGGAACUCCAUGUGUAGCGGUGAAAUGCGUAGAUAUAUGGAAGAACACCGGUGGCGAAGGCGGCUCUCUGGUCUGUUACUGACGC